AUACAUACAUAUAUACGUAUCAUGCAUAUUACGUACCUACACACAAAUACAAUUCAUAUAUAUAUAUAUAUAUAUAUAUAUAGUCCCGCUACUAUACUCUUAUGAGUAUAGUCUAUUUUGUACUCAUAAGUUUUUGGCUGUUAGAUCUAUUUCUUUGAUCAUGUCCACCUGUUAGGUCAUACUAUUCAACCAACUAUCCACUCAACCCUAGGGGACCACCAUUAAGCUAAUCGGAAACCACUAUUAUCCUAACCGCACAUCUCUUCAGCCAAUGGUCGAAAAUUUAUGAGUACAAAGGGGGUUAUACUCAUAACUGUUAUAUCUAUACUUUAAUCAAUUUCACCUUUUAAAUCAUACUAAUCAACCAACCACCACUAAAUCCCAAGUGAUCAGUAGCAUCCUAAUUAACCUUAGAAUUUUUUAUCCAAUGAUUAAAAAUUCGAUAGUAAAAGUACUCAAAUGCUAUUAAUAAUAAUCCAGCCCAAUAUAUAUAUAUAUAUAUAUAUAUAUAUAUAUGAGUCCGGUUACUAUGCUAUCGGUAGUACGGAGCGCUCCGUGCUACCAAGUUGUUUUCAAUAAUGCGCCUUACAUAAAUAUAGAUGUAGAAAUUAAGU
RNAcentral lists this long non-coding RNA (614 nucleotides) under Ananas comosus (pineapple). RNAcentral's name for it is "long non-coding RNA (ACOM_LNC014330)". The record is from RNAcentral. Lineage: Eukaryota; Viridiplantae; Streptophyta; Magnoliopsida; Poales; Bromeliaceae.